CAGUAGCCACGGUAAAACGGAGGGUGCAAGCGUUAAUCGGAAUUACUGGGCGUAAAGGGCUCGCAGGCGGUUUCUUAAGUCUGAUGUGAAAGCCCCCGGCUCAACCGGGGAGGGUCAUUGGAAACUGGGAAACUUGAGUGCAGAAGAGGAGAGUGGAAUUCCACGUGUAGCGGUGAAAUGCGUAGAGAUGUGGAGGAACACCAGUGGCGAAGGCGACUCUCUGGUCUGUAACUGACGCUGAGGAGCGAAAGCGUGGGGAGCGAACAGGAUUAGAUACCCCCGUAGUCCCUGUCUCUUAUAC
Molecule: ribosomal RNA, 301 nt
Filed under: uncultured bacterium
Lineage: Bacteria
Description: partial 16S ribosomal RNA
Rfam family: Bacterial small subunit ribosomal RNA
Source: RNAcentral